AUCCUCUCAAGAUCACACCUGGAGAGUUUCCAGUACUCUACCAAUCUUGGCUACGGGAGGGAGAGUCAAGCAAAGGCCUGUCUAUUCUAUUCCUAGCUUGGCCAGUGGCUAGUGAGUAGAAGGUAAUAUGCUACAAUU
Molecule: small nucleolar RNA, 138 nt
Organism: Ornithorhynchus anatinus (platypus)
Lineage: Eukaryota; Metazoa; Chordata; Mammalia; Monotremata; Ornithorhynchidae
Source: RefSeq, a predicted model, not a curated record